CAACAGGGAUUGCCCUAGUAACGGCGAGUGAAGCGGCAACAGCUCAAAUUUGAAAUCUGGCUCUUUUAGAGUCCGAGUUGUAAUUUGCAGAGAGCGCUUUGGCGUUGGCAGCGGUCCAAGUUCCUUGGAACAGGACGUCACAGAGGGUGAGAAUCCCGUACGUGGUCGCUAACCUUCGCCGUGUAAAGCCUCUUCGACGAGUCGAGUUGUUUGGGAAUGCAGCUCUAAAUGGGAGGUAAAUUUCUUCUAAAGCUAAAUACUGGCCAGAGACCGAUAGCGCACAAGUAGAGUGAUCGAAAGAUGAAAAGCACUUUGGAAAGAGAGUCAAACAGCACGUGAAAUUGUUGAAAGGGAAGCGCUUGCAGCCAGACUUGCCCGCAGUUGCUCAUCCGAACUUUUGUUCGGUGCACUCUUCUGCGGGCAGGCCAGCAUCAGUUUGGGCGGUUGGAUAAAGGUCUCUGUCAUGUACCUCCUCUCGGGGAGGCCUUAUAGGGGAGACGACAUGCAACCAGCCUGGACUGAGGUCCGCGCAUCUGCUAGGAUGCUGGCGUAAUGGCUGUAAGCGGCCCGUCUUGAAACACGGACCAAGGAGUCUAACAUCUAUGCGAGUGUUUGGGUGUCAAGCCCGAGCGCGUAAUGAAAGUGAACGGAGGUGGGAACCCUUAAGGGUGCACCAUCGACCGAUCCUGAUGUCUUCGGAUGGAUUUGAGUAAGAGCAUGGCUGUUGGGACCCGAAAGAUGGUGAACUAUGCUUGAAUAGGGUGAAGCCAGAGGAAACUCUGGUGGAGGCUCGCAGCGGUUCUGACGUGCAAAUCGAUCGUCAAAUUUGGGCAUAGGGGCGAAAGACUAA
RNAcentral lists this ribosomal RNA (850 nucleotides) under Coniothyrium glycines. RNAcentral describes it as "partial large subunit ribosomal RNA". It matches the Rfam family "Eukaryotic large subunit ribosomal RNA", at positions 66 to 934 of the family's 3401-position model. The record is from RNAcentral. Lineage: Eukaryota; Fungi; Ascomycota; Dothideomycetes; Pleosporales; Coniothyriaceae.